Molecule: ribosomal RNA, 466 nt
Filed under: uncultured bacterium
Lineage: Bacteria
Description: partial 16S ribosomal RNA
Rfam family: Bacterial small subunit ribosomal RNA
Source: RNAcentral
GACGAACGCUGGCGGCGUGCUUAACACAUGCAAGUCGAACGGAAAGGCCCUGCUUGCAGGGUACUCGAGUGGCGAACGGGUGAGUAACACGUGGGUGAUCUGCCCUGCACUUCGGGAUAAGCUUGGGAAACUGGGUCUAAUACCGGAUAGGAGCCAUCUUUAGUGUGGUGGUUGGAAAGUUUUUUCGGUGUAGGUUGAGCUCGCGGCCUAUCAGCUUGUUGGUGGGGUAAUGGCCUACCAAGGCGGCGACGGGUAGCCGGCCUGAGAGGGUGUACGGCCACAUUGGGACUGAGAUACGGCCCAGACUCCUACGGGAGGCAGCAGUGGGGAAUAUUGCACAAUGGGCGCAAGCCUGAUGCAGCGACGCCGCGUGGGGGAUGAAGGCCUUCGGGUUGUAAACUCCUUUCGCUAGGGACGAAGCUUUUUUGUGACGGUACCUAGAGAAGAAGCACCGGCUAACUACGUG